CUUAAUAUUUUUGUUGAAGCCUUUCAAGUUUCUACAGUUAAUCUUGGUCUUCUUAUCCAUUAGGAAGAAAACUGACAAAUCCAGUGUUUUUGUUUUUGUUUUUUUUUUUGUUUGUUUGUUUGUUUGUUUUGGCAAAGGGUACAGAUUGCUGUCAAUACCUGCAGAGAUAAAACCUGUUUCACUAAGAAAGGAGUAGUUACGUAAAUACCGCUUGGCAUUUCAGCUCUGCUUUCACGUGCUGUGUCUCUUUACCGAAGCUACUGAAUUUUCCUCAAUUUCAAAUGUUCUGUAGAACGGGGAUCACAGUCCCCUUUAGGGUUUAUGGUAAGCACCGCGCGAAAAGCCCUUUAGCACAGAGCAGGCUGACGAUACCAGGUGCGCUCAACUUUAAACCAAAGUCACUGGCAGUUAAGAAAAGAAACCAGAACUGGCGGCCGGGCCGAGUCAUACCUCUGUGAUACCUUGGAUAUUCAUGAAGAUGAGGAAGAUCUGGAGGUAUGCUAUUUGUAUCAGAGAAGGAAUGUCUGCCAUUCUCCCAGAAAACAGUUCGUCAACCACAAGGACAUACAACCUUCAAACCAUUGAGGUGUUCCAGAUUUCGAGAAUACAGCUGUAGACGUCGGAUCAAGGAUAGAGUUUUAAUCAACAGGAGGAAUAAUAUGAUGGAGUUGCAUGCAACUCUGCAUCUCCGCGAGUGAACAAGAUAUAUGGAGAUAUCCUGAAAUUGGUCAUCUCGCCUCAACAUUUCCUUGAAGCUAAGUUCCUGAGAAAAAUAGGAGACUCCAGCCUCCAGAGCAUUGAGGUGCUGAUUCGGUUUGCUGCCACCAUGCAUGCUGCCCCCCUGUGGUCUGCCCCCAAGCCACAGUGAACUGUGUCCAUCAGAGUCCAGGAUCUUUGGAUAAUGGAUCAUCUUCAGACGAAGGCAAGAGCAUUGAUGAUAAUAUCCCUGAGUAUUGCUAGAUACUACAUUCUGGAAGGGAAUAAAAAGACAGCACAACCA
Molecule: long non-coding RNA, 1000 nt
Organism: Nyctereutes procyonoides (raccoon dog)
Lineage: Eukaryota; Metazoa; Chordata; Mammalia; Carnivora; Canidae
Exons: 6
Source: RefSeq, a predicted model, not a curated record